UGCGCCAAGCACGCAAGUGAGCAAACUGGUCUUUCCCAUCCGGCGAGAGCGCACAGUCUCUCGCUGAGUAAGCAGCCGAGGUCAGCAAGAGCAGCAACAGCAGCUGGCACUGACAAGCCACCCGUAUUACAGCGACUCUCCGACCGAGUCGCUGUCUUUCUGCUUCUCGGCGCCGGUAUGCAAGGACGUCCUGCGUACCUGUAAAAACAUCGCGUGCACUUGUUUUUCGUCUUAUCUAACCCUUUCCUGCAUUUUGGGCACGCAUCGGCUUCCUAGCGUGUAUCGCGUCCGCUAAAGAGCGACUUUUUACACGUGGGACACAGGCAGUUCAGCUGGAACACUCCGGCACGAGAGAUGAAGUUCAUGGACGUAGCGCUGGCCGCAGAGGCGGUCGUCAUCAUCACCGUCAUCCUCACAGUGCCCUACACGGAGAUCGACUGGAAGGCGUACAUGGAGGAGGUGGAGGGGUUUCUUGCUGGCGAGCUGGACUACCGCAACCUUAAGGGCGGCACCGGGCCACUGGUCUACCCGGGCGGCUUUGUGUGGGUGUACAGUGCCCUCUACUAUCUCACCAAGAAGGGUGAGGCCAUUGAGCUGGCCCAGUGGAUAUACGCCGGCGUCUACCUUGUGACCUUGACAAUGAUCUUGCGCCUCUACACCCGCUCCGGGCACACGUGGCAAACCAUGAUACCGCUCUUCGUCUCCAAGCGCAUUCGCAGCCUCUACGUGCUGCGACUUUUCAACGACUGCUGGGCCAUGCUGUUCCUGUUCGCUGCCGUCUCCUUCAUCGCUGGCCGCCCCAGCGGCGCCGCCAAGCGCUCGCGUCAGUGGCUCAUUGGGUGCCUCUGCUACUCUAUCGCCGUGUCCAUCAAGAUGAACGUGCUCCUCUUCGCGCCAGGCAUGCUUUACGUGAUGCUCCGCACACUCCCUUUCUGGCGAGUCGCGUGGUACCUGCUUGUCUGUGCGGCGUGGCAAGUGGCCGCAGGCUUGCCUUUUCUGGCCUACGACCAUAGGGCCUACUUAUCGAAGAGCUUUGAGCUUGAUCGCGUCUUUCUGCAGCGGUGGUCGGUAAACUAUCAAUUCCUCAAUUCCGAACUUUUUGCUAAGCCUGAGUUUGGCCAGGCGCUGCUCGCGAUGACAGUUGCAACGUGGGUUUUGCUGUGGCGCACGCGCUGGGCCGCACGCACCUACUUGACGGAUGCGGAGGUGCAUGUAUCGCAUCCGGCAAUUUCCGAUACACGUCGGCAGAACACGCUCUUGCGCCGCGGCGCUGCCGACGGUGACAAGACGAUGGACAACGAGGCACAGGAGCAGGCAGUAUACGCGUCCACACUGCUCACUUUCUUCGAGGCCAACCUUGUCGGCGUCAUAUUUGCCCGCUCCAUUCAUUACCAGUUCUACACGUGGUUCUUCUACACUGUUCCCUUUGUUCUCGCCUACACGACGUUCCCACGGGUGCUGCGGCUUGUGAGCUUUGCCCUCAUCCGCCAGGGGUUCGAGUCGUUCCCACCGACGCCGAAGACGUCGAUGAUGCUACAAGGUGGCUUUGCCUUGAUGCUGUUUGCGAUCCUCUUUAUGGGCCGUGAAGCUCGUCCAGCUGCCACGCGGGAGGAAACGCAUCCGGCCCGGGACAAUGAACCAAAGUUGCCACAAACACAGGGGACAGCUGGCGCAACAGGCGAGAAGAAAAUACGGUGAGGCGGACGUCACAUCCUAAGCCACUGCUACGCCCGUUGUGGGGGCACUGACAGCGGAUGCCGUUGCAACUGCAAAGAGCCCAUCGCCACGGGAAUUGGUCUCGCCUCCUGCGCGGGCAGGCCAGGCCAAAGCCGCUUCCCCAGUAGGCAGCAAUGAAAUCCACCACUGCCACCAAGAAGUCCAAGUGGUGAUCAGCACGCGCCAUCAGACAGGUUCUCUGCGCGACCCUCCAGUAACUCGCUCUUUCUUCACCUGAAGUGUUGGGCUCGCAUAGAUGUCCGGGCUGUGGUCGGUGAUUGGCCAUCGUCUCGUUGUGGUGCAUUUCUGCCGUCAUCGCUCCCUCUCGCGCGUUUAUCAGCGGCGGCGCAGUGGAACCCGGGGGCGCGCUCGGACGCCUCAAGGUGUCUUUGUCUGCCUUUCUGUGUGUGUGUGUGUGCCAGUGUGUGAUGAUGAGUCCAUCGAAACCCCUUUACGCUUUACAUUUUUUGCGGCGGCUCGCCUCGCGCACAACCUGUGGCUUUUCUCUGAAAGAGAAGGGGUUUAACAGAUGCUGGAGAGGAGUUUGUGCGAUAGCGUGUCCUGCUAACACGAACACGCCGACCGACAUAUGCCGACAACCACAGUUGACGUAUCUCUGUAGCACUGCAGCUAUGUAAAGGAGCCGGGCCCACCAAAACCGUUUGGCGACGUUCAGCCCAGUGCGAUUCCACUGCGGACAGCGCGCCCUGGGUCCAAGAUCAAGCUCAGCACCACCGCCAUGCAGCAAAGGACGAAAAAAAAAACAGUAGGUGGAUGCGGAUCUUCGCUGAAUCAUGGGCCCGCUUCGUAGCGAGCUGCUACAAACGCGGUCAUGACUGCAAGUCUAUCCAGCUGAGCGUCAACUCACACCUGCCCGCCGGCACCAAGAAUCCGCAACCGUACCCGAGGGCAUGCUGCAAGCUGCUUGGCUUUCUCACAGAGUGGGAACUACACUGUGAUAUCACAGCGAAAUGGCCGGCGUUGUCAGGGAUGCCGAAGACGAAACGGAAAAAGUGACAGCUGAGUGUAGAAGUUGCAUGUGCAUGCCUACAAGCGUGUAUAUACGCAUGUGCGUGUGUGUGUGCGACGCCCCUUCAAGCGAUUUGUCCUACAUAGCGUAAACAUCUUCAUUCUCUCGCCCUCAAUUCAAAUGUGGCAGCCGCUUCUGCGAUGCGUGAAGGUCGUGUGUGGCUCCCUCUCUGGCCCUCUCACACAGUGCACGAAUCGAGCAACUAGAAGGUGCACGAGCCUUCCGCGCCAAUGAAC
Molecule: unclassified non-coding RNA, 2982 nt
Filed under: Leishmania donovani
Lineage: Eukaryota; Euglenozoa; Kinetoplastea; Trypanosomatida; Trypanosomatidae
Description: gene:LdHU3.36.2810(CDS-product:dolichyl-P-Man:GDP -Man5GlcNAc2-PP-dolichyl_alpha-13-mannosyltransferase_putat ive)
Source: RNAcentral